This 466-nucleotide ribosomal RNA is filed under the name uncultured bacterium. RNAcentral's name for it is "partial 16S ribosomal RNA". It matches the Rfam family "Bacterial small subunit ribosomal RNA", at positions 28 to 507 of the family's 1533-position model. The record is from RNAcentral.
GAUGAACGCUGGCGGCGUGCUUAACACAUGCAAGUCGAACGAUGAAGCCCAGCUUGCUGGGUGGAUUAGUGGCGAACGGGUGAGUAACACGUGAGUAACCUGCCCUUGACUCUGGGAUAAGCCUGGGAAACUGGGUCUAAUACUGGAUAUGACUUCUCAUCGCAUGGUGGGGGGUGGAAAGAUUUAUUGGUCUUGGAUGGACUCGCGGCCUAUCAGCUUGUUGGUGAGGUAAUGGCUCACCAAGGCGACGACGGGUAGCCGGCCUGAGAGGGUGACCGGCCACACUGGGACUGAGACACGGCCCAGACUCCUACGGGAGGCAGCAGUGGGGAAUAUUGUACAAUGGGCGCAAGCCUGAUGCAGCGACGCCGCGUGAGGGAUGACGGCCUUCGGGUUGUAAACCUCUUUCAGUAGGGAAGAAGCGAGAGUGACGGUACCUGCAGAAGAAGCGCCGGCUAACUACGUG